Molecule: transfer RNA, 74 nt
Filed under: Chloroflexota bacterium
Lineage: Bacteria; Bacillati; Chloroflexota
Description: Chloroflexi bacterium tRNA-Gly
Rfam family: tRNA
About the family: Transfer RNA (tRNA) molecules are approximately 80 nucleotides in length.
Source: RNAcentral
GGCCUCGUAGCUCAGUGGACAGAGCACCGUGCAUGCCAAGCCGGAGGUCGAUGGUCCGAAUCCAUCCGAGGCUA